Molecule: ribosomal RNA, 496 nt
Filed under: uncultured bacterium
Lineage: Bacteria
Description: partial 16S ribosomal RNA
Rfam family: Bacterial small subunit ribosomal RNA
Source: RNAcentral
AUGCACGCUGGCGGCGUGCCUCAUCCCUGCAAGUCGCGCGAACAGACGAGGAGCUUGCUCCUCUGACGUUAGCGGCGGACGGGUGAGUAACACGUGGAUAACCUACCUAUAAGACUGGGAUAACUUCGGGAAACCGGAGCUAAUACCGGAUAAUAUAUUGAACCGCAUGGUUCAAUAGUGAAAGACGGUUUUGCUGUCACUUAUAGAUGGAUCCGCGCCGCAUUAGCUAGUUGGUAAGGUAACGGCUUACCAAGGCAACGAUGCGUAGCCGACCUGAGAGGGUGGUCGGCCAAACUGGAACUUAGACACGGUCCAGACUCCUACGGGAGGCAGCAGUAGGGAAUCUUCCGCAAUGGGCGAAAGCCUGACGGAGCAACGCCGCGUGAGUGAUGAAGGUCUUCGGAUCGUAAAACUCUGUUAUUAGGGAAGAACAAAUGUGUAAGUAACUAUGCACGUCUUGACGGUACCUAAUCAGAAAGCCACGGCUAACUACGUG